CCUACGGGAGGCAGCAGUGGGGAAUAUUGGACAAUGGGCGAAAGCCUGAUCCAGCCAUGCCGCGUGUGUGAAGAAGGCCUUCGGGUUGUAAAGCACUUUCAGUGGGGAAGAAAGCCUUGGGGCUAAUACCCUCGAGGAAGGACAUCACCCACAGAAGAAGCACCGGCUAACUCCGUGCCAGCAGCCGCGGUAAUACGGAGGGUGCGAGCGUUAAUCGGAAUUACUGGGCGUAAAGCGCGCGUAGGCGGUCUGAUAAGCCGGUUGUGAAAGCCCCGGGCUCAACCUGGGAACGGCAUCCGGAACUGUCAGGCUAGAGUGCAGGAGAGGAAGGUAGAAUUCCCGGUGUAGCGGUGAAAUGCGUAGAGAUCGGGAGGAAUACCAGUGGCGAAGGCGGCCUUCUGAACUGACACUGACGCUGAGGUGCGAAAGCGUGGGUAGCAAACAGGAUUAGAUACCCGUGUAGUC
RNAcentral lists this ribosomal RNA (465 nucleotides) under Vreelandella stevensii. Its description in RNAcentral is "partial 16S ribosomal RNA". It matches the Rfam family "Bacterial small subunit ribosomal RNA", at positions 338 to 795 of the family's 1533-position model. Lineage: Bacteria; Pseudomonadati; Pseudomonadota; Gammaproteobacteria; Oceanospirillales; Halomonadaceae. The record is from RNAcentral.